GACGAACGCUGGCGGCGUGCUUAACACAUGCAAGUCGAACGGAAAGGCCCUGCUUUUGUGGGGUGCUCGAGUGGCGAACGGGUGAGUAACACGUGAGUAACCUGCCCUUGACUUUGGGAUAACUUCAGGAAACUGGGGCUAAUACCGGAUAGGAGCUCCUGCUGCAUGGUGGGGGUUGGAAAGUUUCGGCGGUUGGGGAUGGACUCGCGGCUUAUCAGCUUGUUGGUGGGGUAGUGGCUUACCAAGGCUUUGACGGGUAGCCGGCCUGAGAGGGUGACCGGCCACAUUGGGACUGAGAUACGGCCCAGACUCCUACGGGAGGCAGCAGUGGGGAAUAUUGCACAAUGGGCGGAAGCCUGAUGCAGCAACGCCGCGUGCGGGAGGACGGCCUUCGGGUUGUAAACCGCUUUCGCCUGUGACGAAGCGUGAGUGACGGGAAUGGGUAAAGAAGCACCGGCUAACUACGG
This 467-nucleotide ribosomal RNA is filed under the name uncultured bacterium. Its description in RNAcentral is "partial 16S ribosomal RNA". It matches the Rfam family "Bacterial small subunit ribosomal RNA", at positions 28 to 506 of the family's 1533-position model. The record is from RNAcentral.